Molecule: non-coding RNA, 363 nt
Organism: Equus quagga
Lineage: Eukaryota; Metazoa; Chordata; Mammalia; Perissodactyla; Equidae
Source: the annotation of a RefSeq genome assembly
CCCACCAUGGCCUGGACAGUGCUUCUUCUCUGGCUCCUCACUUACAGCUCAGGGGCAGAUUCUCAGGCUGUGGUGAUCCAGGAGCCAUCAUUCUCUGUGUCCCUAGGGGGGACGGUCAUACUCACCUGUGGCCUUAGCACUGGGUCAGUCUCUACCAGUAACUAUCCUAGAUGGUACCAGCAGACCCCAGGCAAGGCUCCCCGUACACUCACCUACAGCACAAACAACCGCCUCUCUGGGAUCCCUGAACGCUUCUCUGGAUCCAUCUCAGGAAACAAAGCCGCCCUCACCAUCACGGGGGCCCAGCCCGAGGACGAGGCCGACUAUUACUGUGAUCUGUAUGUGGAUCGUGGUGUUUCCACA